CUACUUUGUUUCAGCCAGAGCCUGCAAAGCCACGAUUCAGCUUUUUACCGCCUUCUGAGACCCUAUGGCAGCCGUAGGAAGUGUCACGGGACAGCUAAGAUCCUCACUCUUCAAUAAACAGAGACAAGAAGAACGACACCUUGUCAGACAGGCCACUUCCUGCCUGAAACCUUCAGGUUUUUGCCUGCCAAAUGAGUUCUGUUAUACUCACAGACACCAUUCAAACAGUUUUAGAAACUUUAGGGUGUUUUCUAUCCAUAUGUAAUAAGUAUAUGCAUAUUCUAGUUACUGGGCAGGAGUGGUAACCAGAUUAAAUCGGGCACGUUUUUUAUCCAGCCGUGAAAAUACUGCCCCCUAGCCAUAACAGGAUAACUGUGGGACAUAACCAUCAAUUUAUUUGACCACAUUUAUUAAUAUUUUAUAGAGCAUGAAAUACGGUUAUAGGUGAUUGGUGACCCAUUUAUGCAGGGCUUAUGAAGCCUAUAUGAAUGCUUUAUGAAGCCUUUAGGUCUGGGUAUAUAUGCAUUUUAUUAUUUGUAUUGUAGAUACUAGCAUGUAUACCUCGAGAGUCUACUGGGCCUGUAUAUUGUGUGUAAACCUUUACUUAUGGUUAUUCUUUUCUUGUAUCGUUCCAUAGAACCACUUUUAUACACUCAUUCUUACUGUGAGCCAUCAUUACAGAGGAGUGUGGUGUGGUGAACCUUUAUCUUGAAUAAACCUGUCUAAAGAUAUCUUGGACCUCUUGCCAGACAGACCUCUGGUGGCUGAACCCUGUCUAUUGGCAUCUAAUAGCUCUCUACUAGUUCCCGUUCUACAUGGUGCUGUCGGAUCAGCGCCUUAAUAUUUUUCAUGGUCCUUUGAGCCGGAUAUCAUCACUACCACAGCCCAAGAUGUCUCAGAGCUACGCAGAGUCCAGGUAUUGGUCACCACACACAUCAGAGUCUUCUCUCCCUGAACGAAGACGAGCAGACAAGCCUCAAGACAUGACAUGCCACUUCGCCUUCACUGGUCACGAUGACCAGUGAGCAGAAUAUUGGUUGCAUCCUAUCAGGGAGAGGACCUCACCACGGGAGACCCUUCUGACGUCCCCGUGGGGGACACUCCAGAUUUGCAUGUGUGCAGCUGUCUCCUGUCCUCAGAUCUCUACCCAUCGCUGUUGUGUGGUUCCAGCUGAUCUCAGCUCCUGACCUGCACAGUCCUUUCCUGUCGCUGACAUGGGUCUGGCUGUCUGCUGUCCUGAGAUCUCGGCGCGUGGCUGCUGUGGAGAUCCAGCCCACCUUAGCUGCAGUUUCGGAGCCCUUACCUGUUGUUGCUGUGGAGGCCCAACUGAGCCCUGCUGCUGCGGCUUGGCCUCCUGAUCUAGGGCUUUCGUCUUGUUGCCCUGCUGCGGCCUAGCCUCCUGAUCCAGGGCCUCUGUCUGGUAGCUGCUGCCCGUUGCUGCUUUGUGGGUCCAGCCACCAAAGUAUCCACUCCUGAGACUAUCAUCAAGCUCUGCUGCAGCGGCCCCGAUGUCUCCAGUCCCGGUGUCUUCAGCCGACACCAUGCCAGGGGUCAAGAGCACUGCAGAGGUCCUCCUGUUGCCUUUUUUUGGGCAGAGGGGGUGACCGCAACCGAGUCCACCACUGCAUCCUGUUGGCUCCCCUCUUCAAGAACUGCUGUACAGCCUGCACUGGUGUCCGCCAUGUCACUCUGGUUUGGUGACCUCAAGCACCUUCCUGACGGGGUGGCCAGAUGCCCAAAGAACCAAACCCUGCUUGGCCAGAUGCCUAUGCUCUAUGUCUAUGCCCUACUUGGCCAGACACUCACAAGGACUGGACUUUUCCUUGUCUGGCUCCUUCACAGCUCUGCUUCCCUGUCUAGGACAAUGAACACACACUAGUGGCCUUCUGUCAUCCCCUUUGUUAGAGCCUUUUGUUUAGAGUUCACAUUUACACAGUAAAUGUGGGGGUGGCUGUUAGAAAGGCCAACUCUGAUUUAGUAGUUUCAGCACCCCUUUUCUAGUAGUUUAUUAUAUUUGCCCAACACCCCUUAUUUCUCACAGUAGUGGUACCUGGAAUCUGUUACAUUCCAGUCAUGUUUUCAGUUAUUAUGCUUACCAGUAUUUUGGUCCUGUAAGUGUAAUACUGUAGCUUGUGUAUUUGGUUUGGGCGCUUACAUUAUAUCUUGGUAUAAACAGUAUACUCAUGGUUAUAUUUUUUUAAAUCUUUCCAUAGAACCACGUUUAUACACUCUCACUUUUACUGUGAGCCAUCAUUACAGAGGAGUGUGGUGUGGUGAACCUUUAUCUUUAAUAAACCUGACAAUACUGUGAGCUCCAAAAGUAUUGGGACAGUGACACAUUUCUUGUUGUUUUGUCUCUGUACUCUAGCACUUUGGAUUAGAAAUGAUGGUAACACUUUACUUGACAGUUGUUAUGAUAUGGUCAUAACACUGUCAUGACACAUAUAUUUAGACCUCUUGUGACAUAUAUUGCAUUAUUUUAUGGCUGG
RNAcentral lists this long non-coding RNA (2489 nucleotides) under Salmo salar (Atlantic salmon). RNAcentral's name for it is "lncRNA (ENSSSAG00000088183.1, ENSSSAG00000090797.1)". Lineage: Eukaryota; Metazoa; Chordata; Actinopteri; Salmoniformes; Salmonidae. The record is from RNAcentral.